CCUACGGGAGGCAGCAGUGAGGAAUAUUGGUCAAUGGGCGAGAGCCUGAACCAGCCAAGUCGCGUGAGGGAAGACGGUCCUAUGGAUUGUAAACCUCUUUUGCCGGGGAGCAAAAAGCGGUACGUGUACCGCAUCGAGAGUACCCGGAGAAAAAGCAUCGGCUAACUCCGUGCCAGCAGCCGCGGUAAUACGGAGGAUGCGAGCGUUAUCCGGAUUUAUUGGGUGUAAAGGGUGCGCAGGCGGCGAGUUAAGUCAGCGGUAAAAUUUCGGGGCUCAACCCCGACAAGCCGUUGAAACUGGCGUGCUAGAGUGGGCGAGAAGUAGGCGGAAUGCGUGGUGUAGCGGUGAAAUGCAUAGAUAUCACGCAGAACUCCGAUUGCGAAGGCAGCAUACCGGCGCCCAACUGACGCUCAGGCACGAAAGCGUGGGUAUCGAACAGGAUUAGAUACCCCAGUAGUC
RNAcentral lists this ribosomal RNA (459 nucleotides) under uncultured bacterium. RNAcentral's name for it is "partial 16S ribosomal RNA". It matches the Rfam family "Bacterial small subunit ribosomal RNA", at positions 338 to 795 of the family's 1533-position model. The record is from RNAcentral.